CCUACGGGAGGCAGCAGUGGGGAAUAUUGGACAAUGGGCGAAAGCCUGAUCCAGCAAUGCCGCGUGAGUGAAGAAGGCCUUCGGGUUGUAAAGCUCUUUUACCCGGGAAGAUAAUGACUGUACCGGGAGAAUAAGCCCCGGCUAACUCCGUGCCAGCAGCCGCGGUAAUACGGAGGGGGCUAGCGUUGUUCGGAAUUACUGGGCGUAAAGCGUACGUAGGCGGCUUUGUAAGUCAGAGGUGAAAGCCCACGACUCAAUCGUGGAACUGCCUUUGAGACUGCUUCGCUUGAAGAUGGGAGAGGUUAGUGGAAUUCCGAGUGUAGAGGUGAAAUUCGUAGAUAUUCGGAAGAACACCAGUGGCGAAGGCGGCUAACUGGACCAUUCUUGACGCUGAGGUACGAAAGCGUGGGGAGCAAACAGGAUUAGAUACCCUGGUAGUCCACGCCGUAAACGAUGAUAACUAGCUGUCGGGGCUCUUGGAGCUUCGGUGGCGCAGCUAACGCAUUAAGUUAUCCGCCUGGGGAUACGGCCGCAGGUUAAAACUCAAANANAUAGACGCGNGAGACGNGCGACGCGACACGAGGAGAG
RNAcentral lists this ribosomal RNA (588 nucleotides) under uncultured bacterium. RNAcentral's name for it is "bacterial SSU rRNA". It matches the Rfam family "Bacterial small subunit ribosomal RNA", at positions 338 to 948 of the family's 1533-position model. The record is from RNAcentral.